Long non-coding RNA from Etheostoma spectabile (orangethroat darter), 130 nucleotides. RefSeq lists it as uncharacterized. NCBI's taxonomy places the organism in Eukaryota, Metazoa, Chordata, Actinopteri, Perciformes, Percidae. The transcript has 3 exons. The record is from RefSeq and is a predicted model, not a curated record.
UUGCUAAGCCCCCAUUGCUGCGUCCAGAGCUUAGCGCCGUACAGGACAAAUGUGAUUGGUUUAAAGAAAUGGAAACAACCCAGAGCUUUUUUUCCUCCUAUCCUAGAAUCCAUCUGUGGUAUAGCCAGAC